UCAUAUCUUUGAGAAAUACGCAGCCAACCAAUGUAGGAACAUGAUGUACCAAGCUCGUGUGGAUGCAGUGAAAUAUUUCUUUAGAAAAAUAUUGAGUCGGCCUAUCAAGGAUCCACUAGCACGGAAAAAAGAACUUACUUUCGAAUAAUACUUGAAGUGCAAACCUGAUUGGAUCACAGAUGAGUCCUGGGGUCACUAUGUCAAUAUUGGUGCUCUGCUGGGUACAGAAAGAAACGGAAGCUGGGGCAAGAUUCACGCUAUAAAUCAGAAGAUGUAGCUCAAAACAGGGGUGGUUCAAGACCACUUGGCGAGACCCAACAAUAUCUGAAAGUCAAGUAUGGACCUGAGAAAGGCACUAUCAUAAACACUUAUUGCUGCAUGAAGGCUGGUCUUAAAAAUUGUGAUAGCAGUGGGAAUAGCGGUCCAGUCACAAGCGGACGUGCCACAAAACGUGUUGAUGAUUACAAUGAAGGCCUCCAAGCUGCGUAUCCAACUGAUUGGCAGCAAAGACCUUUUGAUGGAAAAGUUAUGUAUAACACCUCAGGUGGCAUGCCUCAUGGUCGUAUGGCAAUAGCAGAUGGUGCUCUGAGGAAGGCUGACAUUGUGUAUGCUGCAAGGGCAAGUAACAUUAGGCCAUCUAACUCCAUGUCUUACCAAAAUCUCAAAGAGAAGAUUUGAUGAGGCAAUAGAGGUCAAUCGGAACUUAGAAAAAGACAAUGAAGUGUUAAAGAAAGACAAUGCAGUGCUGGUUCGGCGUGUAAAUCGUUUUGAUCAUCUAAUUGAGGUAAUUCUUGUGCUUCUCUAUAUCUUUUGGCUUGAAGAU
Molecule: long non-coding RNA, 823 nt
Organism: Phragmites australis (common reed)
Lineage: Eukaryota; Viridiplantae; Streptophyta; Magnoliopsida; Poales; Poaceae
Exons: 3
Source: RefSeq, a predicted model, not a curated record